GUGGGGAAUCUUAGACAAUGGGGGAAACCCUGAUCUAGCCAUGCCGCGUGAUCGAUGAAGGCCUUAGGGUUGUAAAGAUCUUUCAGUUGGGAAGAUAAUGACGGUACCAACAGAAGAAGCCCCGGCUAACUCCGUGCCAGCAGCCGCGGUAAUACGGAGGGGGCUAGCGUUAUUCGGAAUUACUGGGCGUAAAGCGCACGUAGGCGGACUGGAAAGUCAGAGGUGAAAGCCCAGGGCUCAACCCUGGAACUGCCUUUGAAACUCCCAGUCUUGAGGUCGAGAGAGGUGAGUGGAAUUCCGAGUGUAGAGGUGAAAUUCGUAGAUAUUCGGAGGAACACCAGUGGCGAAGGCGGCUCACUGGCUCGAUACUGACGCUGAGGUGCGAAAGCGUGGGGAGCAAACAGGAUUAGAAACCCUGGUAGUCC
This 425-nucleotide ribosomal RNA is filed under the name uncultured bacterium. RNAcentral's name for it is "bacterial SSU rRNA". It matches the Rfam family "Bacterial small subunit ribosomal RNA", at positions 354 to 796 of the family's 1533-position model. The record is from RNAcentral.